This 319-nucleotide unclassified non-coding RNA is filed under the name plant metagenome. RNAcentral's name for it is "partial contains 5.8S ribosomal RNA, internal transcribed spacer 2, and large subunit ribosomal RNA". The stretch from base 1 to 104 matches the Rfam family "5.8S ribosomal RNA", at positions 51 to 154 of the family's 154-position model. The record is from RNAcentral.
AAAUGCGAUAAGUAAUGUGAAUUGCAGAAUUCAGUGAAUCAUCGAAUCUUUGAACGCACAUUGCGCCCGCCAGUAUUCUGGCGGGUAUGCCUGUUCGAGCGUCAUUACAACCCUCAGGCCCCCGGGCCUGGCGUUGGGGAUCGGCGGAAGCCCCCUGCGGGCACAACGCCGUCCCCCAAAUACAGUGGCGGUCCCGCCGCAGCUUCCAUUGCGUAGUAGCUAACACCUCGCAACUGGAGAGCGGCGCGGCCACGCCGUAAAACACCCAACUUCUGAAUGUUGACCUCGAAUCAGGUAGGAAUACCCGCUGAACUUAAGC